This 2921-nucleotide ribosomal RNA is filed under the name Lactiplantibacillus pentosus. Its description in RNAcentral is "23S ribosomal RNA". It matches the Rfam family "Bacterial large subunit ribosomal RNA". Lineage: Bacteria; Bacillati; Bacillota; Bacilli; Lactobacillales; Lactobacillaceae. The record is from RNAcentral.
GGUUAAGUUAACAAGGGCGCAUGGUGAAUGCCUUGGCACUAGGAGCCGAUGAAGGACGGGACUAACACCGAUAUGCUUCGGGGAGCUGUACGUAAGCUAUGAUCCGGAGAUUUCCGAAUGGGGCAACCCAGCAGUUUUAAUCAACUGUUACCACUAGAUGAAUUCAUAGUCUAGUUGGAGGUAAACGCUGUGAACUGAAACAUCUCAUUAGCAGCAGGAAUAUAAAGAAAUUUCGAUUCCCUAAGUAGCGGCGAGCGAACGGGGAACAGCCCAAACCAAAGUGCUUGCACUUUGGGGUUGUAGGACUGAACAUUUGAGUUACCAAAGAACUUGAUAGUCGAAGGAUUUGGGAAAAUCCGCCAUAGAUGGUGAUAGCCCAGUAGAUUAAAUCAAAUUCUCUCAGUUCAGGAUCCUGAGUACGGCGGAACACGUGAAAUUCCGUCGGAAUCCGGGAGGACCAUCUCCCAAGGCUAAAUACUACCUAGUGACCGAUAGUGAACCAGUACCGUGAGGGAAAGGUGAAAAGCACCCCGGGAGGGGAGUGAAAUAGUUCCUGAAACCAUGUGCCUACAAUAAGUCAGAGCGCGUUAAUGCGUGAUGGCGUGCCUUUUGUAGAAUGAACCGGCGAGUUAUGAUCCCGUGCAAGGUUAAGACUAAAAAGUCGGAGCCGUAGCGAAAGCGAGUCUGAAAUGGGCGAUUUGAGUACGAGGUUAUAGACCCGAAACCAGGUGACCUAUCCAUGUCCAGGUUGAAGGUGCGGUAAAACGCACUGGAGGACCGAACCCGUGUAAGUUGAAAAUUGCUGGGAUGAGGUGUGGAUAGCGGUGAAAUUCCAAACGAACUUGGAGAUAGCUGGUUCUCUCCGAAAUAGCUUUAGGGCUAGCCUCGGAUUAAGGAUCAUGGAGGUAGAGCACUAUUUGGACUAGGGGCCCGUCUUGGGUUACUGAAUUCAGAUAAACUCCGAAUGCCAUUGAUUCAUGUCCGGGAGUCAGACGAUGAGUGAUAAGAUCCACCGUCGAAAGGGGAACAGCCCAGACCAUCAGUUAAGGUCCCUAAAUGUAUGCUAAGUGGAAAAGGAUGUGGAGUUGCAUAGACAACUAGGAUGUUGGCUCAGAAGCAGCCACCAUUUAAAGAGUGCGUAAUAGCUCACUAGUCGAGUGAUCCUGCGCCGAAAAUGUACCGGGGCUAAGCAUACUACCGAAACCAUGGAUGCGACCAUUAGGUCGCGUGAUAGGAGAGCGUUCUAAGGGCGGUGAAGCAAGAUCGUGAGGACUUGUGGAGCGCUUAGAAGUGAGAAUGCCGGUAUGAGUAGCGAAAGAUAGGUGAGAAUCCUAUCCACCGAAUGACUAAGGUUUCCUGGGGAAGGCUCGUCCUCCCAGGGUUAGUCGGGACCUAAGUCGAGGCCGAGAGGCGUAGACGAUGGAUAACAGGUUGAGAUUCCUGUACUAGUUAAGUGCGUUUGAGCAAUGGAGGGACGCAGGAGGCUAAGAUGUGCAUUCUGUUGGAUUAGAAUGUCCAAGCAGUAAGUCUUGUGAAGAGUCAAAUGCUUUUCACUUUAAGGACAAGCUGUGAUGGGGAGCGAAAUUUAGUAGCGAAGCGUCUGAUGUCACACUGCCGAGAAAAGCUUCUAGUGAGUACUUAACUACCCGUACCGCAAACCGACACAGGUAGUCGAGGAGAGAAUCCUAAGGUGAGCGAGUGAACUCUCGUUAAGGAACUCGGCAAAAUGACCCCGUAACUUCGGGAGAAGGGGUGCUGAUCGCAAGAUCAGCCGCAGUGAAUAGGCCCAGGCGACUGUUUAUCAAAAACACAGGUCUCUGCAAAAUCGUAAGAUGACGUAUAGGGGCUGACGCCUGCCCGGUGCUGGAAGGUUAAAAGGAUGGGUUAGCUUCGGCGAAGCUCAGAAUUGAAGCCCCAGUAAACGGCGGCCGUAACUAUAACGGUCCUAAGGUAGCGAAAUUCCUUGUCGGGUAAGUUCCGACCCGCACGAAAGGCGUAACGAUCUGGGCACUGUCUCAACGAGAGACUCGGUGAAAUUAUAUUGUCCGUGAAGAUGCGGACUACCCGCGACAGGACGGAAAGACCCCAUGGAGCUUUACUGUAGCUUGAUAUUGAGUGUUUGUACAGCUUGUACAGGAUAGGUAGGAGCCAUAGAAACCGGAACGCUAGUUUCGGUGGAGGCGUUGGUGGGAUACUACCCUCGCUGUAUGACCACUCUAACCCGCACCACUAAUCGUGGUGGGAGACAGUGUCAGGUGGGCAGUUUGACUGGGGCGGUCGCCUCCUAAAAAGUAACGGAGGCGCCCAAAGGUUCCCUCAGAAUGGUUGGAAAUCAUUCGCAGAGUGUAAAGGCACAAGGGAGCUUGACUGCGAGACAGACAGGUCGAGCAGGGACGAAAGUCGGGCUUAGUGAUCCGGUGGUACCGUAUGGAAGGGCCAUCGCUCAACGGAUAAAAGCUACCCUGGGGAUAACAGGCUUAUCUCCCCCAAGAGUCCACAUCGACGGGGAGGUUUGGCACCUCGAUGUCGGCUCAUCGCAUCCUGGGGCUGUAGUCGGUCCCAAGGGUUGGGCUGUUCGCCCAUUAAAGCGGUACGCGAGCUGGGUUCAGAACGUCGUGAGACAGUUCGGUCCCUAUCCGUCGCGGGCGUAGGAAAUUUGAGAGGACCUGUCCUUAGUACGAGAGGACCGGGAUGGACAUACCUCUGGUGUACCAGUUGUGCCGCCAGGCGCAUCGCUGGGUAGCUACGUAUGGAUGUGAUAAACGCUGAAAGCAUCUAAGUGUGAAACACACCUCGAGAUGAGAUUUCCCAUUCCUUUAUGGAAGUAAGACCCCUGAAAGAUGAUCAGGUAGAUAGGUUAGAAGUGGCAGUGCGGUGACGCAUGAAGCGGACUAAUACUAAUCGGUCGAGGACUUAACCAA